Molecule: transfer RNA, 69 nt
Filed under: Marmota monax (woodchuck)
Lineage: Eukaryota; Metazoa; Chordata; Mammalia; Rodentia; Sciuridae
Description: tRNA.Ala
Source: RNAcentral
GGGGCUAGGGCUCAGUGGCAGAGUGCUUGCCUUGCACACAUGAGGCCUGGAGUUCGAUCCUUAGCACCA